This is a long non-coding RNA of Tupaia belangeri chinensis (Chinese tree shrew), 284 nucleotides long. RefSeq lists it as uncharacterized. The record is from RefSeq and is a predicted model, not a curated record. NCBI's taxonomy places the organism in Eukaryota, Metazoa, Chordata, Mammalia, Scandentia, Tupaiidae. The transcript is spliced from 3 exons.
AAAACUGGGUGAAGAAAUUUCAUGGCUCAAUUAGCAAUUCCCUGCCUCUUCCAACUGAGGUUUUGGGAUUCAGAAGGGACUUCUGCAAAGAGCCCUGUGCUCCUCAUGUGCUGCAAAGAAAAUGGAGAGUUUGCAGAACAGUUCUUUCCCUUCGUUCAAAAAUUAGGUUCAAGUCGAGAACUACUGAGAGAUCACCAAGGUAAACAUAUGCACUGGAAGAAGCUCUAAUGCCCUGCAAUUAUGUAACAAACGGAUGGCAUACCAGGAACAGAGUGACCCCCAAA